UCUCCGUAGGUGAACCUGCGGAGGGAUCAUUACUGAGUGAGGGUCUCCGGGCCCGACCUCCAACCCUUUGUGAACCAAACUUGUUGCUUCGGGGGCGACCCUGCCGUUCGCGGCGUGGGGCCCCUGGAGUCCAUCAAACCCUGCGUAACUAAGUCGUCGGAGUUUAAACAAAUUAAACAAAACUUUCAACAACGGAUCUCUUGGUUCGGGCAUCGAUGAAGAACGCGC
RNAcentral lists this unclassified non-coding RNA (228 nucleotides) under uncultured fungus. Its description in RNAcentral is "sequence contains ITS1, 5.8S rRNA gene". The stretch from base 181 to 228 matches the Rfam family "5.8S ribosomal RNA", at positions 1 to 48 of the family's 154-position model. The record is from RNAcentral. Lineage: Eukaryota; Fungi.